CGCACUUCCGCUGCAGACAGAAACAUCCACCCACACGCCGGAAAUCGGAUAAUAAAAAAUAAAAAUCGGAAAAUAAAAUAAAAAUCGGGCGUUACGUAAUGUGUUUACAUAAAUGAACGGGCGUUAAUUAUAAAAUCGGAUAAACGCUUCCGGUUUUGGACAGAAGACCUGACACUCGCUGUUGACUUUAAGCUGGAGCUUAUGGCUCUUCUCUUUCUGUAAAUACACACACCUUAUUCAGAAUUCCCUCUGUGUUAUACUGCAAUCAUCUCAAUUUAAUAUUUGAUAGGACACAAACUGAUACUCGUAUUGUAAAGCUGAAGGGCAUCAGAGAUUGAGGCUAAUAAUUAUUUUAAAUACUAUGUAUGAGUGGACAGGAAUAGUUAGAACAAUUCCCCUUUAGCUUCACCUUUUCUGACAUAUUUAUAUUAGGUCUAGCUAUGUUACAUUCUGUUGUCUUAAUAUCAUAAGGUUCGACUGCAUUCCAACAUAAUUUAUCAUAUGUUAUUAGCACUUUUGCAUUCCUAAAUUCUUACUCUGAACCAUCAUUCAUUUAAUAUCUGGCUCUAAUUGUCUAUAAUAUUGUCUUACCUUGUGCUGCUGGACCACCUUAUUUGCCCAUAUUUAAAUACGACAAACUCAAUUCUGUGUUUUAACUUAGCUCUGUGUGUUACCAAAGUGAAUAAGUAAAGUCAUACAAAAAAUCUAUACAUUGUAAACGUUAUAUAACACUUUAUUAAGAACACUCAACAGAUAACUGAACUCAGAACCUCAACACACACACACACACACACACACACACACACACACACACACACACACACACACACACACACACACACACACACACACACACACACACACACACACACACACACACACACACACACACACACAG
Molecule: long non-coding RNA, 898 nt
Organism: Gadus macrocephalus (Pacific cod)
Lineage: Eukaryota; Metazoa; Chordata; Actinopteri; Gadiformes; Gadidae
Exons: 2
Source: RefSeq, a predicted model, not a curated record